UGCCAGGGUCGGGGUCCGAGCAGGUGAGGCGCUCCCACUUCCGCGCGCUGCGGGAGCCGAGCGGGGAGGGCCAGCCCGGUGGACCCCGGCUGCGGCGCAGGGCUGGCGGGCGGGGCUGGAGGGGACCCGCCGGACCCGGGACUUCGCGGUCCAGCUGCAGCGGGAUGAGCCGAGCGGCUGUCCCAGCCCGCAUGGGUUGACCAAGGCCCGGAGAUUAGGUGGGGGUCAGGCCCCAGCCGGGGAGAGGCUGGGCCCUGAAGAGAACGGUCAGGGGUCGGGGCUGCCUGGUGGCGCCUGCGAGAGGAGGAAGGAAGGGGUCGGUCGGCGGCUGCGCGCGGGGUCACUGCGCGGGCGACGGUGGGGGACAGUGUAGUCACCUCCAGGGUGCCUGUUGGCCGGGAAGACAGAAGCUCUGGAAGGAGGGCGAGGCAAAAGAGCCCGGGAAGGGGGCGGGACCAGGGCCGUAGCAGAGCCGAGCCCUCCCCUGGGGGGGCAGGGGGCUGGCCUGGGAGGCGCUGCCCACCUGCCGGACUCGGGAGGAGCUGACACUCCCUGUCUCUGGAGCUGUCCGGGCCUCACCUCUGGAGCCUGCUGCUACCCACCCCUUCCUGGGAAGUCCCACCGUGUUGACACCCCUCUAGCUGUGGAAAGGCUCCAACAGCUGGACUCUUGCCUUGGGUGUGGAUGUGCGGACCCCUUCCAAAUUCACCCACUGCCUCCCCGGGACCAUUAAGGUCUGUGGGGUAGGGGCGCUGAGUCCUGCUCUCUGAACUACGGCCCCAGGGCUAAUAGCCCAGACAGGUCUGGCCAUGUGGCCCCGAAGCUGACUCCCAUGUGUCUUUAUCCAUUGCUGUGUAAGUGCAACAAGGCACCCCAGCAUUUCGUGGCUCAAAGCAAGCACCCAUUUGUUGCUAGCUCAGUCCAUGGAUGGCCCCCGCCCAGAUGGGCAGCUCUCCCCUCGGGUUUGUCUGCGGUUGUGGUCAGGAGCAGCAGGGCUCCGUGGGCUUACGUGACCCGGAUGGCCUCUUUGCCGUGUGUCUGGCCCCUCCCAUGGGCUGGCUGGCCUUCUCCCGGUGUGUGACCUUUCCGUGUGUGGCAUGGCAGUCUCGGAGCAGUGGGGUUCUCCCACGACAGCAGCUCCCCCAGCACAUGGUCACGAGGCCGUGUUUCCCAUGACCCACCUCAGAUGUCUUGCAGCACCAUUUCCACUGCGUCCUGUGUCACAGAGAAAGUCCUGGGCUGCCCGGGUUCCAGGGAAGGGACCUCACAGGGCUCUGGAGCACCGGGCCCCCAAUAAUCCUGUAGGGGUUUGCCCCUCCCAGCCUUCGCCACCCGCCUAGUGUCCUGGGGUGGGGGGGGCGGCGGGGGGGCAGAGAGACGAACACCAGGGCCCGUCCCAGAAGCUGGCCCCACCCCACCCAGCAGCCAGGUGCACCUGUCCUGCACACACUCCGGGCCCAGGGACGCUCCCUUCCCAGAGCACAGGACAAAUCACAGAGCUGAGCUGGCAAGAGCCCCGGCCUGGGCAGAGGAGGGGCCGCAGGGAGCUGCAGGAGCAUCUGGGAAGACGCAGCAUCUCACAGAGCAUUGUUUCCUUCACAUUGAGGCGGAAAGCACUGUGCAUCACAUCAGUGGCUCGUAGCCUAGACUGCGGAACUUACGUCCCUUCAGUACCAGCGAGGUGCUGCUCCUCUGGGAACUAGUAGCAGCUCUGUAGAGUUGCCGUCUGCCCUGCUGAGUGCACUCCCGGCUGGACGGCUCGGGAGACCCUCUCUCCCCCGGCCCUACUGGCAGCCGGAGGCAACGCGCACCUCCCUCCGCGGGCCAGCAGGCUCAGCCACAGACAAACAGGGGAGCCGCCCACAGGAGUUCAGACGGCACGGGGUCGACCAUCUCGCGUGAGAAGUCUGCAAGGAGGAGGCCCCAAAGCUGUCCCCGAGCUCCGCCACGCACAGCACGUCAGCCCCGCUCAACCUCACGGUCACAGGGUGGCUACCGUGGUCCCAGCCUUGUCUGCAGACCCCGUGGCAUCAGUACACGGGAGGGGCUUUGCAAUUGAGAGGAAACCCUUGCCCAGGAGGCCCCGCUCUGAGGACCAGUGACCAUUCUCCUCCGAGGUCUGGCCGGGGGACAUUGCCUUCCCUGAGCACGGACCACAAGGGUGAGGAGGAGGUCAGGUGGCCGCGGAGCGGACGGAGGGGAGCGUCCACUGCCUCAGCCCCACGGCCUGGGGACUUCAGCUCCUCCGCACGUGCGCGUGUACACGUGCCCGUUUCCCCUCCCGGGGCGUCCAGCUUGGGACCCCCUGCUAACUCGGCACUGGACGUUUGUCUCCUUCGAGGGAGUGUGCACUCUGUAGCACAUUCAGAAGAGCGUCUUGUUUGUACUUCCUUCCACGCUUAAUCUUCUCAUGUAAUCAUCCCUUCUCUUUCCUUCUCCUGCGAUGGCUCGUCUUACGCGUCAGCGUGGCUGUGCCGCAGGGGCCCGGGUAUUUGGUGGAACGUUACGCCCGGCGUUUCUGGGUGAGACGGACAUCUGACUCGGCGAACUGAGGGAAACGGAGGCCGCCCCGGUGUGGGUGGGCCUCGUCCGAUCAGUUGGGGCCUGAAGACGAAGGCGGAGGGGGAGAACCCACCCCCUCUGCCCGUCUUCCAGCUGGGACACGGGUCUCCUCCCGCCUUUGGGCUCAGAGCGGGACCCACGGCCGGCUCUCCUGGGUCCGGUCAUGGGGCCUUGUGGCCAGCACGAGCACGGGGGGACCUGUCCCUAGAGUGACGGCAUGCGCACGGGGGGACCCGUCCCUAGAGUGACAGCAUGAACACGGGGGACAGGCCCUGAGAGUGAAACCACAAGCACGGGGGGACCCGUCCCUGAGAGUGACUUUGAUACACACAGACAUUUAUAUAUCUGUCUGUUUCUCUGGAGAACCCGGGUCAACGCCCCUGGUCAUCCUGCGAAUGGUCUUGUGUGGCGGCCACCCUGGACUGGUGCCCCUUCUCCAGGACCCAGGGGUCCCUCGUCUCCCUGAUGACUUCCAGCCUAGCGUCACCGACCCGUGCCUUCCUCCUCCCUGGUCUGCUUCCUCGUGUGAGGGGUGUCUCCCGAAAGCCAAGUAUUUGGUGUCCUCAGCAGCUGAGAUCCGGGCGGGUGUCCUAGCUUGAAGACGCGGCUGCCCAGGGCUUCUGGCGUCACAGGAACGGCGGAGCCAGUCCCUGACCCCUUGGGGGGGCCUGUGCCCCUCUGGCUGCGUUUGGAUCCUGAAGUCCCAUCGCGUCGGGUCUGGGAUGGGCUUCUGGAUCCUCAGCCAGCGACCCAUCUGUUUGCAAACGUGUGCCCUGCAGUUUGUGAAACCUUCUGGCAUUUUCUCCCUUCCGUUUGCUCACCGCUCCAGAACCCCGUUGGCUGGAUGUCAGAUCACACCUCUGUGGUCUGUUGUUUGUAUGUCUGCCCUUCCGUUCUGCUGAAUGGGAGCGUUUCUCAAUUUUAACUUUCAACCCAUCUUCCAAACUGCUGCCGUCGUGUCUCUGACCCCGGGGAGCCCGUGCCUCCUCUCCCGCCCCCGCCUUCUCGGCGGCGCUGUCCCUGUUUCCCGACGCGAUGUUUCAGCCUCUAUCGGGGCAUUACAGGCGGUCCCUCGUGCACACUCGCCGUCCUGUUUCCUGUAACUGUGGCCCCGUCUGUGUCUGGGCAGGUGUGUCACGGAUGGGGGGGUCUGGUGUCACCGUCCAGCCCCGGGGAGCCCAGGUUUUCGUAUCGGGGUCUUUGCUCUGGCCUGAGCCUUGUGGACGGAGCUCACGCUGGCCCCGCCCACCGCCUCUGAGUCCUGGUCCCCCAGAGAGGCCGGACCGCAUGGCCGGGCCGCUCGGGCUUUCUUCCUGCCACUGCCGAUGCCCGUGCCAGUGCCGCCCGGUGUCACUGCUGACUUCACGUCUGACUCCACAGUUCCACCUCUUUGCUUUGCCUGUUUUUCUUCAGAAUUAGCUUAUUUAUCAUUAACCUUCACUUUUCCUUACAAGCGCUAGAACAAAUGGGAUAAAACCAACAGGAGGGAUUUGAAUCGGAAUGGCCACUGGGUCUGUGAUGACCUGGGAGAACGUGCAUACAGACUCCCCGCGCCCAGACGGAGCCCCCUCGUGCACCCAGAUCUGCCUGGAUCUCUCUGGGGUGCCUCUUUGUGGACUCGGAUCCCCUGCUGUUGGGGACACCCCCCCCCCGCUGUUGUGGAUGCCCCCCUGCUGCCCCCCACUGCUGCCAACGCCUCCCCAGCAGUGUUGUGCUGCGUGUGCCUGGGGAAGCGGCACCGUUGGUUUUCAGACGGUAAAGUGCGACGUGUUGUGCAAGGAGAAGCAUAUAAAAACCAGUUAAAAAAAAUGGCAAAAGAGACAUGCAGGAGCCCGAUACGAAAUAGCACAUUUUUGGUUCCCUGGAAGCCGCUGGGGGGACUGUCCCAGCAAAGCAACUUCCUCCAGACGUCGUGUCCUGUCCCCUGGCUUUUAGCACUUGGUGUACGUCCCCGGCCUACGUUCUCCCUGUUUUGACAAGCGGCUCAGCUGAAGGCCCCCCAGGAGGAGAGACACCGCAGAGCCUCGGCCUCCCAGUCGGCGGGCAGGGACGCAGAUGAUCUCUGGACGCCCAGGCGCCCACGGCCCCGGGCAGGGCAAAAGGCAGGGCUAGGAGGAUGGGCUGCCCCACGUGUCUGCUUCUGACCCACCAGGGUCCUCUGCGCACUCUCUGGCGUAGGUCAGGCACGUGUCAGAGCCGCUGCUCCUGGGGGAAGCUGUGUCCUCAGCUGCCCAGUCCGGAUGGCCGACCCUCACAAGGCACAGCUGUCCCGCAGACCUCUCCCCCCACAGCCCUGGGGCUCCCUUCCUGGGGCUCCUGUGUGAGACACUGGGGUCUGCAUGCUGGGCUUCUCUCUUUCUUGGUUUGCACGCUUGUUUUCCUGGAGCAGGUCUUUGAGAGAGCACACGUGGCAGAUAGCGUGACACCUCGCAUGUCUCAGAAUGUUUUUUAUUUCAUCUCAUACUCCGAGGAUGGCUUGGCUGGGUAUGGAAUUCUAGGUUGGAACCACUUUCUGCAGCACUAGGGGCAGUGGGCAGGCAGUUCGUCGCCUCCUUGUCUGCCUGCCUCCCGUGUGGCUGCUUCUACUUCCGAAGGUGUCCUGAGGCCUCUUUUGGGAUCCAAAACGUGUUGCUUUGGAGAGUGUCCCAUUUGUACUAGAAAAGAGUGUGCCUCAGUUUAUCGCAUUAUCCAAAUUGCUCACAUCUUUGCUUGUGGCUGCUCGAGCUGUCUGUGUGCAGAGAGGAGUUGGAGCAGGUCGCUUGUCAUCUGUGGCUUUUUGUUUUCUGAAGCUAUGUUUUUAGUGGCAUAUGUGUUCUGUUCUCUGAUCUGAGAGUCAUGUCACACUUAUUGAUAUUCCUCUUUGUCCUUUGUGAUGCUUGUAUUUUAGAAUGGUUAUAACAGUCCAUUUUAUGCUUGGUAUGUUUUACUGCAAUAAAAAAAUAUAAAAUAAAA
Prionailurus viverrinus (fishing cat) is the source of this 5514-nucleotide long non-coding RNA. RefSeq lists it as uncharacterized. The record is from RefSeq and is a predicted model, not a curated record. NCBI's taxonomy places the organism in Eukaryota, Metazoa, Chordata, Mammalia, Carnivora, Felidae. The transcript has 2 exons.